GAUGAACGCUGGCGGCGUGCCUAAUACAUGCAAGUCGAGCGAACAGACGAGGAGCUUGCUCCUCUGACGUUAGCGGCGGACGGGUGAGUAACACGUGGAUAACCUACCUAUAAGACUGGGAUAACUUCGGGAAACCGGAGCUAAUACCGGAUAAUAUAUUGAACCGCAUGGUUCAAUAGUGUAAGACGGUUUUGCUGUCACUUAUAGAUGGAUCCGCGCCGCAUUAGCUAGUUGGUAAGGUAACGGCUUACCAAGGCAACGAUGCGUAGCCGACCUGAGAGGGUGAUCGGCCACACUGGAACUGAGACACGGUCCAGACUCCUACGGGAGGCAGCAGUAGGGAAUCUUCCGCAAUGGGCGAAAGCUUGACGGAGCAACGCCGCGUGAGUGAUGAAGGUCUUCGGAUCGUAAAACUCUGUUAUUAGGGAAGAACAAAUGUGUAAGUAACUAUGCACGUCUUGACGGUACCUAAUCAGAAAGCCACGGCUAACUACGUG
RNAcentral lists this ribosomal RNA (497 nucleotides) under uncultured bacterium. Its description in RNAcentral is "partial 16S ribosomal RNA". It matches the Rfam family "Bacterial small subunit ribosomal RNA", at positions 28 to 507 of the family's 1533-position model. The record is from RNAcentral.